Long non-coding RNA from Strigops habroptila (Kakapo), 1145 nucleotides. RefSeq lists it as uncharacterized. The transcript is spliced from 6 exons. The record is from RefSeq and is a predicted model, not a curated record. NCBI's taxonomy places the organism in Eukaryota, Metazoa, Chordata, Aves, Psittaciformes, Psittacidae.
UUUGAACAUGUGUUCUAAUUCUGUGCUUUCUUCUCAGUAUAACCACUUUACCUAGCAUGAAAAUCGGGAUGUGCAGUUUCCAGUUCUUCUAAGAUCUCUAAAAAAAAAAAAAAAUCAUCGUAUUUUGGUGCCAAAGCUAAUCACCUGGUGUACAACCAGAAGAAAAACAUGAGGAUCUUCAGGACUGUGCAACAGCCAAGAGAAAGUAAAGAAUAAAGACACUGCAAGAAUUUUAAAAAACGCAUUAGAGAUCAGCUGCUGAGAAAUGGGAAUAAAUGGUGAUUAGUGGCACACUGCUAGUGUGGCUGCACUGAGUUAUAAUGAGGCAUCUGCAAUGUUUUUCCAGUGUGUAACAACCAGUUGACCCCAUAGACUGUGGCUAAUGCAAAGCAGAACUGUGCAUUUGGCAGCCAUCAGCAGCUAUGUGGGGGUGAUGUGCAGGUCUCGUUUGCUGGCUGAUCUUGAGGUGGCCUUGUUAAAAGCACUCCCUGCCAUUUCUAAAGGAGAUAAAUCUACCUAGAACACUUGGAAGCAGACGUACUUCUCUGCUUGAAGAAAAGAAAAAGAAAGUGGUUUUCCCUGAACUUCUCAUCAUAAAGCACAUGUUCCUGUGAGUUACAAUUUCCAAGGCAGUGAAAGACCAGCGACAAGCUGCCAAUUUAUCAUGUCAGAGCCCCACUCCAUUCCAGCCUUCCAGCUUCUCAACUAAUUGUAACUACACGUGGUGCUCUGUGGAGAAGGACCACAGAGCUGAUGUGAUGAUGCAGGUACAAACCCAGAACUUCUUGAAUGGUUUUCUGAAAUGAUUAAUUUGAGAUGAAAAAUCUUGGGUUUUCAAACUGGACUGCAUGCUUCCUCUGUCUCUGCCAUCAGAAGUGACCAACAGCCUUGAAUCUUGAAUACCUCCCUGAUUAAAACUUCACCUAAACAGACGUGUUUUCUGCAAAAUGUUUUGGCUCUGACAAAGCACCAUAUUUUUAUGAGAUUACAUUUAAUGGAAAUGUUCUGACCAGCUCCAGAUGCAUGCUUUAUAUGUGCAUAGAUAGUUUCUAUUGCCUAGGAAGAACCACCUAGUACACAGAGAGGAUUUGCCAGAAGCAAUUAUUUUUUAUCUUAGUUUGGUUUCAAACCAUUCAUGACCACCC